UCCCUGGUGGACUAGUGGUUAGACCAGAAUACUCUCACUGCUGGGGUAUGGGUUUGAUUCCUGGCCAGGGAA
Non-coding RNA from Pangasius djambal, 72 nucleotides. NCBI's taxonomy places the organism in Eukaryota, Metazoa, Chordata, Actinopteri, Siluriformes, Pangasiidae. The record is from the annotation of a GenBank genome assembly.